Small nuclear RNA from Ochotona curzoniae (black-lipped pika), 104 nucleotides. The record is from RefSeq and is a predicted model, not a curated record. Lineage: Eukaryota; Metazoa; Chordata; Mammalia; Lagomorpha; Ochotonidae.
GUGCGCACUUCAGCAGCAUACAUACUAAAACUGGAACGAUACAGAGAUUAGCAUGACUCCUGCAUAAGGAUGACAUGCAAAUUCGUGAAGCGUUCCAUAUUUUA